This 253-nucleotide ribosomal RNA is filed under the name uncultured bacterium. Its description in RNAcentral is "partial 16S ribosomal RNA". It matches the Rfam family "Bacterial small subunit ribosomal RNA", at positions 524 to 776 of the family's 1533-position model. The record is from RNAcentral.
GACGAACCGAGCGAACGUUGUUCGGAAUCACUGGGCUUAAAGGGCGCGUAGGCGGGCUCUCAAGUCCGGGGUGAAAUCCCACAGCUCAACUGUGGAACUGCCUCGGAUACUGGGGGCCUCGAGGGUGGUAGGGGUAUGCGGAACUAUCGGUGGAGCGGUGAAAUGCGUUGAUAUCGAUAGGAACUCCGGUGGCGAAGGCGGCAUACUGGACCACAUCUGACGCUGAGACACGAAAGCCAGGGGAGCGAACGGG